UUCUCACGACGAGAUUUUUAAAUUAAAAUUUAAACUAUCAAACUCAACGUAUCCCGCCCUCUGAUUUUCGCAAAUGUUAUCAAGCAGCUGAUUCAUGCCUUCUCAGUCUUAGCUUGAUGAUUCUAAUCCUUCUUCCGCGAGUGGUCGUGAUCACAAAGGAAUGGUUCCAGUGAAAAUGAAGCUGAUAAGUGAAGCUUGGCAGUCGGGUGAUGACAAAUCAAAUUUCGUGGUUAGCGGUUCACAGGUCACUAAGGUUACGGUUGGAAUGGUGUUCGGCAAAUAGGAAAGGACUUCUGAUGUCACUUUCACCCUAGAUGAUGGGACUGGGCGAAUUGAACACAAAGGAUGACUCGUUAGAAUCUUUGCUCUCUUCGCAAUUUGGCAUUGAUGGACUCGAGGAACGUAAUCAACUGGUCCUGGAUUAUCUGCAGCAACCUUCAAUCAGCUGGAUCGUCCAUUGGGGAGACUACUGUUCAAAUGCAUGUGCUGCUUUCUAAUCGUAUCAAUCCUCCAGGGCCCCUUGUCCUUCAUCGGUACAAUUAUUGAUUGAAUCUUCUUCCUACAAUCCAACAGCUGAGUAGGGGGCCAUGUGGAAGUGUUCUGGUGGUGUCACCUAGUUGCAGUGCUGUAGUAAUAAAGUUGUGGUCGAUUCCCGUUUCUGGUACGUUGAUUGGUAUUAUAAUGUCGUUGAACAA
Long non-coding RNA from Mangifera indica (mango), 695 nucleotides. RefSeq lists it as uncharacterized. NCBI's taxonomy places the organism in Eukaryota, Viridiplantae, Streptophyta, Magnoliopsida, Sapindales, Anacardiaceae. The transcript is spliced from 6 exons. The record is from RefSeq and is a predicted model, not a curated record.